GUCUUUUGCCUCUUGCAGUUCGCCCUCUGCCUUUCGUGCUUUCGCUUCUGCAUUAUUCUUCUCGUCUCCCUUUUUCUUUUCAAGCAUGCGUAAUUCGUGAUUCUUUUCCCUCAACGCCUUCUGAAGCUCUUCAUUCUUCCCCUUCUUCAAAUUUUGCAACUCUUCAUCCCUCGCCACGCUUGCUACCUCCAUCUCCUCUACCGUUUUUUCGAGCUCUUCGAUCCGUCUCGAUUUUUCUGUUUCGUCGACAUUUUUAUUUUUAAGCGCCCGUAGCUCAACUUCCUUUUUCUUUGACACCUUCCGAAUCUCUUCUUCCUUCUCCUUUUUGACCCUU
RNAcentral lists this long non-coding RNA (334 nucleotides) under Linum usitatissimum (flax). Its description in RNAcentral is "long non-coding RNA (LUSI_LNC001124)". The record is from RNAcentral. Lineage: Eukaryota; Viridiplantae; Streptophyta; Magnoliopsida; Malpighiales; Linaceae.